GCGUAGAUAUAUGGAGGAACACCAGUGGCGAAAGCGGCUCUCUGGUCUGUCACUGACGCUGAGGCUCGAAAGCGUGGGUAGCGAACAGGAUUAGAUACCCUGGUAGUNCACGCCGUAAACGAUGAGUGCUAGGUGUUAGGCCCUUUCCGGGGCUUAGUGCCGGAGCUAACGCAAUAAGCACUCCGCCUGGGGAGUACGACCGCAAGGUUGAAACUCAAAGGAAUUGACGGGGGCCCGCACAAGCGGUGGAGCAUGUGGUUUAAUUCGAAGCAACGCGAAGAACCUUACCAGGUCUUGACAUCCCGAUGCUAUUCUUAGAGAUAGGAAGUUACUUCGGUACAUCGGAGACAGGUGGUGCAUGGUUGUCGUCGGCUCGUGUCGUGAGAUGUUGGGUUAAGUCCCGCAACGAGCGCAACCCUUAUUGUUAGUUGCCAUCAUUAAGUUGGGCACUCUAGCGAGACUGCCGGUAAUAAACCGGAGGAAGGUGGGGAUGACGUCAAAUCAUCAUGCCCCUUAUGACCUGGGCUACACACGUGCUACAAUGGUCGGUACAACGAGUUGCGAGCCGGUGACGGCAAGCUAAUCUCUGAAAGCCGAUCUCAGUUCGGAUUGGAGGCUGCAACUCGCCUCCAUGAAGUCGGAAUCGCUAGUAAUCGCGGAUCAGCACGCCGCGGUGAAUACGUUCCCGGGCCUUGUACACACCGCCCGUCACACCACGAGAGUUUGUAACACCCGAAGUCGGUGAGGUAACCUUUUAGGGNCCAGCCGC
Molecule: ribosomal RNA, 769 nt
Filed under: uncultured bacterium
Lineage: Bacteria
Description: bacterial SSU rRNA
Rfam family: Bacterial small subunit ribosomal RNA
Source: RNAcentral